RNAcentral lists this ribosomal RNA (380 nucleotides) under uncultured eukaryote. RNAcentral's name for it is "SSU rRNA". It matches the Rfam family "Eukaryotic small subunit ribosomal RNA", at positions 587 to 972 of the family's 1831-position model. The record is from RNAcentral.
AGCUCCAAUAGCGUAUACUAAAGUUGUUGCAGUUAAAAAGCUCGUAGUUGGAUUUCUGGUCGAGGCAGCCGGUCAGCACCAAGUGUGUUCGCACCAGGCGCCUCGUCCAUUUUUGUAGAGGCUGCGUCUGUCAUUAAGUUGUCGGGCGUAGGGUCUGCAUCAUUUACUGUGAGCAAAAUAGAGUGUUCAAAGCAGGCUUAGGCCGUGAAUACAUUAGCAUGGAAUAAUAAGAUAAGACCUUGGUCUAUUUUGUUGGUUAGCAUUCCGAGGUAAUGAUUAAUAGGGAUAGUUGGGGGUAUUCGUAUUCAAAUGUCAGAGGUGAAAUUCUUGGAUUUUUUGAAGACGAACUACUGCGAAAGCAUUUACCAAGGAUGUUUUCA